GAUGAACGCUGGCGGCGUGCCUAAUACAUGCAAGUCGAGCGAACAGAUGAGGAGCUUGCUCCUCUGACGUUAGCGGCGGACGGGUGAGUAACACGUGGAUAACCUACCUAUAAGACUGGGAUAACUUCGGGAAACCGGAGCUAAUACCGGAUAAUAUAUUGAACCGCAUGGUUCAAUGGUGAAAGACGGUUUUGCUGUCACUUAUAGAUGGAUCCGCGCCGCAUUAGCUAGUUGGUAAGGUAACGGCUUACCAAGGCAACGAUGCGUAGCCGACCUGAGAGGGUGAUCGGCCACACUGGAACUGAGACACGGUCCAGACUCCUACGGGAGGCAGCAGUAGGGAAUCUUCCGCAAUGGGCGAAAGCCUGACGGAGCAACGCCGCGUGAGUGAUGAAGGUCUUCGGAUCGUAAAACUCUGUUAUUAGGGAAGAACAAAUGUGUAAGUAACUAUGCACGUCUUGACGGUACCUAAUCAGAAAGCCACGGCUAACUACGUG
This 497-nucleotide ribosomal RNA is filed under the name uncultured bacterium. RNAcentral describes it as "partial 16S ribosomal RNA". It matches the Rfam family "Bacterial small subunit ribosomal RNA", at positions 28 to 507 of the family's 1533-position model. The record is from RNAcentral.